GACGAACGCUGGCGGCGUGCUUAACACAUGCAAGUCGAACGGAAAGGCCCUGCUUUUGUGGGGUGCUCGAGUGGCGAACGGGUGAGUAACACGUGAGUAACCUGCCCUUGACUUUGGGAUAACUUCAGGAAACUGGGGCUAAUACCGGAUAGGAGCUCCUGCUGCAUGGUGGGGGUUGGAAAGUUUCGGCGGUUGGGGAUGGACUCGCGGCUUAUCAGCUUGUUGGUGGGGUAGUGGCUUACCAAGGCUUUGACGGGUAGCCGGCCUGAGAGGGUGACCGGCCACCUUGGGACUGGGAUACCGGCCAGACUCCUACGGGAGGCAGCAGGUGGGAAUAUUGCACAAUGGGCGGAAGCCUGAUGCAGCAACGCCGCGUGCGGGAUGACGGCCUUCGGGUUGUAAACCGCUUUCGCCUGUGACGAAGCCUGAGUGACGGUAAUGGGUAAAGAAGCACCGGCUAACUACGUG
This 468-nucleotide ribosomal RNA is filed under the name uncultured bacterium. RNAcentral's name for it is "partial 16S ribosomal RNA". It matches the Rfam family "Bacterial small subunit ribosomal RNA", at positions 28 to 507 of the family's 1533-position model. The record is from RNAcentral.